This 253-nucleotide ribosomal RNA is filed under the name uncultured bacterium. RNAcentral describes it as "partial 16S ribosomal RNA". It matches the Rfam family "Bacterial small subunit ribosomal RNA", at positions 524 to 776 of the family's 1533-position model. The record is from RNAcentral.
UACGUAGGGUGCGAGCGUUGUCCGGAAUUAUUGGGCGUAAAGGGCUCGUAGGCGGUUUGUCGCGUCGGGAGUGAAAACACCGGGCUUAACUCGGUGCUUGCUUUCGAUACGGGCAGACUAGAGGCAUGCAGGGGAGAACGGAAUUCCUGGUGUAGCGGUGGAAUGCGCAGAUAUCAGGAGGAACACCGGUGGCGAAGGCGGGAUCCUGGGCCAGUACUGACGCUGAGGCGCGAAAGCUAGGGGAGCGAACAGG